GGUGAACGCUGGCGGCGUGCUUAACACAUGCAAGUCGAACGGGAAACUUUUCAUUGAAGCUUCGGCAGAUUUGGUCUGUUUCUAGUGUCGGACGGGUGAGUAACGCGUGGGUAACCUGCCUUAUACAGGGGGAUAACAACCAGAAAUGGUUGCUAAUACCGCAUAAGCGCACAGGACCGCAUGGUCCGGUGUGAAAAACUCCGGUGGUAUAAGAUGGACCCGCGUUGGAUUAGCUAGUUGGCAAGGUAACGGCCUACCCAGGAGACGAUCCAUAGACGGGAUGGGAGGGUGAACGGCCGCAAUGGGACUGAGACCAGGCCCAGACUCCUAAGGGAGGGAGGAGUGGGGAAUAUUGCACAAUGGGGGAAACCCUGAUGCAGCGACGCCGCGUGAAGGAAGAAGUAUCUCGGUAUGUAAACUUCUAUCAGCAGGGAAGAUAGUGACGGUACCUGACUAAGAAGCCCCGGCUAACUACGUGCCAGCCGCCGCGGUAA
Molecule: ribosomal RNA, 494 nt
Filed under: uncultured bacterium
Lineage: Bacteria
Description: partial 16S ribosomal RNA
Rfam family: Bacterial small subunit ribosomal RNA
Source: RNAcentral